UCUCCGUUGGUGAACCAGCGGAGGGAUCAUUACCGAGUUUACAACUCACCAACCCCUGUGAACAUACCUUUUUGUUGCCUCGGCGGGAACAGCCCCAGAGCUCCGUGCGCUGGAAUCAGGCCCCGCCGCAGGACCUCAAACUCUGUAUUCACGAAUUUAUUCUGAUUACCUUAGCUUCUCCGGAAGCGAAAAUAAGUAACAACUUUCAACAAUGGAUCUCUUGGCUCUGGCAUCGAUGAAGAACGCAGC
This 249-nucleotide unclassified non-coding RNA is filed under the name uncultured fungus. Its description in RNAcentral is "sequence contains ITS1, 5.8S rRNA gene". The stretch from base 201 to 249 matches the Rfam family "5.8S ribosomal RNA", at positions 1 to 49 of the family's 154-position model. Lineage: Eukaryota; Fungi. The record is from RNAcentral.